RNAcentral lists this ribosomal RNA (252 nucleotides) under uncultured bacterium. RNAcentral's name for it is "partial 16S ribosomal RNA". It matches the Rfam family "Bacterial small subunit ribosomal RNA", at positions 524 to 776 of the family's 1533-position model. The record is from RNAcentral.
UACGUAGGGAGCGAGCGUUAUCCGGAUUUAUUGGGUGUAAAGCGUGUGUAGGCGGUAAAUUAAGUCUAAGGUUUAAGCCCGGAGCUCAACUCCGGUUCGCCUUAGAAACUGAUUUUCUUGAGUAUGGUAGAGGCAAGUGGAAUUUCUAGUGUAGCGGUAAAAUGCGUAGAUAUUAGAAGGAACACCAGUGGCGAAGGCGACUUGCUGGGCCAAAACUGACGCUGAGACACGAAAGCGUGGGGAGCAAAUAGG